Molecule: ribosomal RNA, 301 nt
Filed under: uncultured bacterium
Lineage: Bacteria
Description: partial 16S ribosomal RNA
Rfam family: Bacterial small subunit ribosomal RNA
Source: RNAcentral
CAGCCGCCACGGGAAUACGGAGGGUGCAAGCGUUAAUCGGAAUUACUGGGCGUAAAGCGCACGCAGGCGGUCUGUCAAGUCAGAUGUGAAAUCCCCGGGCUUAACCUGGGAACUGCAUUUGAAACUGGCUGGCUAGAGUCUUGUAGAGGGGGGUAGAAUUCCAGGUGUAGCGGUGAAAUGCGUAGAGAUCUGGAGGAAUACCGGUGGCGAAGGCGGCCCCCUGGACAAAGACUGACGCUCAGGUGCGAAAGCGUGGGGAGCAAACAGGAUUAGAUACCCGAGUAGUCCAUGUCUCUUAUAC